Molecule: ribosomal RNA, 253 nt
Filed under: uncultured bacterium
Lineage: Bacteria
Description: partial 16S ribosomal RNA
Rfam family: Bacterial small subunit ribosomal RNA
Source: RNAcentral
UACGGAGGGGGCUAGCGUUGUUCGGAAUUACUGGGCGUAAAGCGCACGUAGGCGGCUUUGUAAGUUAGAGGUGAAAGCCCGGGGCUCAACUCCGGAAUUGCCUUUAAGACUGCAUCGCUCGAAUUGUGGAGAGGUAAGUGGAAUUCCGAGUGUAGAGGUGAAAUUCGUAGAUAUUCGGAAGAACACCAGUGGCGAAGGCGACUUACUGGACACAUAUUGACGCUGAGGCGCGACAGCGUGGGGAGCAAACAGG